This 274-nucleotide ribosomal RNA is filed under the name uncultured bacterium. RNAcentral describes it as "partial 16S ribosomal RNA". It matches the Rfam family "Bacterial small subunit ribosomal RNA", at positions 523 to 796 of the family's 1533-position model. The record is from RNAcentral.
AUACGGAGGGUGCAAGCGUUACUCUGAAUCACUGGGCGUAAAGCGCGCGCAGGCGGUCUUUUAAGUUGGAUGUGUAAGCCUACGGCUCAACCGUAGAACUGCAUCCAAAACUAUUAGACUAGAGUGUGGGAGAGGAAGAUGGAAUUAGUUGUGUAGGGGUAAAAUCCGUAGAGAUAACCAGGAAUACCAAAAGCGAAGGCAAUCUUCUGGAACACUACUGACGCUGAGGCGCGAAAGCGUGGGGAGCAAACAGGAUUAGAAACCCUAGUAGUCC